This 460-nucleotide ribosomal RNA is filed under the name uncultured bacterium. RNAcentral's name for it is "partial 16S ribosomal RNA". It matches the Rfam family "Bacterial small subunit ribosomal RNA", at positions 338 to 795 of the family's 1533-position model. The record is from RNAcentral.
CCUACGGGUGGCAGCAGUGAGGAAUAUUGGUCAAUGGACGCAAGUCUGAACCAGCCAAGCCGCGUGCAUGAAGACGGCUCUAUGAGUUGUAAACUGCUUUUGUACGAGGGUAAACGCAGAUACGCGUAUCUGUCUGAAAGUAUCGUACGAAUAAGGAUCGGCUAACUCCGUGCCAGCAGCCGCGGUAAUACGGAGGAUUCAAGCGUUAUCCGGAUUUAUUGGGUUUAAAGGGUGCGUAGGCGGUCGGUUAAGUUAGAGGUGAAAUCCCGAGGCUCAACUUCGGAAUUGCCUCGGAUACUGGUCGGCUAGAGAGUAGUUGAGGUAGGCGGAAUGUGUGGUGUAGCGGUGAAAUGCUUAGAGAUCAUACAGAACACCGAUUGCGAAGGCAGCUUACCAAGGUACUUCUGACGUUGAGGCACGAAAGCGUGGGGAGCGAACAGGAUUAGAUACCCCUGUAGUC